GACGAACGCUGGCGGCGUGCCUAAUACAUGCAAGUAGAACGCUGAAGAGAGGAGCUUACUCUUCUUGGAUGAGUUGCGAACGGGUGAGUAACGCGUAGGUAACCUGCCUUGUAGCGGGGGAUAACUAUUGGAAACGAUAGCUAAUACCGCAUAACAAUGGAUGACACAUGUCAUUUAUUUGAAAGGGGCAAUUGCUCCACUACAAGAUGGACCUGCGUUGUAUUAGCUAGUAGGUGAGGUAAUGGCUCACCUAGGCGACGAUACAUAGCCGACCUGAGAGGGUGAUCGGCCACACUGGGACUGAGACACGGCCCAGACUCCUACGGGAGGCAGCAGUAGGGAAUCUUCGGCAAUGGGGGCAACCCCGACCGAGCAACGCCGCGUGAGUGAAGAAGGUUGUCGGAUCGUAAAGCUCGGUUGUAAGUCAAGAACGGGUGUGAGAGUGGAAAGUUCACACUGUGACGGUAGCUUACCAGAAAGGGACGGCUAACUACGUG
This 497-nucleotide ribosomal RNA is filed under the name uncultured bacterium. RNAcentral describes it as "partial 16S ribosomal RNA". It matches the Rfam family "Bacterial small subunit ribosomal RNA", at positions 28 to 507 of the family's 1533-position model. The record is from RNAcentral.